RNAcentral lists this long non-coding RNA (4426 nucleotides) under Mytilus galloprovincialis (Mediterranean mussel). The record is from RNAcentral. Lineage: Eukaryota; Metazoa; Mollusca; Bivalvia; Mytilida; Mytilidae.
GACCUCUUUUACCAAAUCAGUUUCCCAGAAAGUGAGGACAUUGAGAUACAUAUCGAAACGUCGUUAUAGUCAUCAGAAGUUAAAGAUCAAACCCUAAUCAAGUUGGUAGAUGUUGUAAAAAUUAUAAUAAUAUGUGUAGCUUUGAACAAUCAGAAUACUUAAUUCAUCUGUCUUUCUUACAGUUUCAUUCGUAUAUAGAUAUGAUCAAAUCAGAAGAUGUGGUAUGAGUGCUAGUGAAACAACUCUCCAUCCAAGUCACAAUUUGUAAAAGUAAACCAUUAUAGGUCAAAACACUGAUAAACAAUGAACCCUCUGAGAAUUAUAAACAAAUUGUAUGCUGUGAAAUUGUCCUGUUAAAGAGACUUGAUAUAAAAAAAUCCCCUUUUCUGCUUACUAUUUUCCAGAGUGCUAUGGCCAAGAAAGUUUCUCAGAGGGUUCGUUGGUGUCGGUGGUAUGAUAGAAAGAAACCUAUAUCAUGGUAAUAAUGGCUCCCUAUUCAUUUUUUUUUUUUAAACAUAUUUUGUUAGUUUAAUCACCUGUUACAUCAACCCUAAAAAGCAACUAAGGUGGCCUGGAUUUUUUAGUCUGGAUUUUUUAGUCUCAUUUGCCAGGGAAAAAGCAAAUGAGGGAAAAAAUAAACUCCAAUUAUGACUCAUUAACAUCUAUCUUUAUAAUCAUCCUCUAUCUAUGUACAAAUGAACAUGUAAUUAUCCUCUAACUGUAUAUUAUUACAUCUCAUCAUAUAUCAUUCGAAUAAAUUAAAGUAUCCAUACUAUCUGUAAAUAUUUUUUUUCUCACAAAAGCUACCUGUAUUUAUUCAUAUUUUAAAUUAGAUUAAUACUGCAGUCCUACUAGAUCACGAUCGCACUACAAUCUGUGAAAAAAAUGAAUAUUUGACGAUCGUACUGCAAUCAUGCAGAUCGCAGUAAGGUUGUAUUACGAUCGUUAUGAGAUCUUCAUGAUCUUGGCCAACUUUGAACAUGGUCAAAAGCAAUCGUGGUGUGUUCAUGGCCAUAUCAAAAAAUAUUUGUUAAAAUAUAGAUGCUGUGUUUCUCAAAAGGUAUAUAUAUUAGAAUACUAUGAAAUCAAACUUAGAGUUUCUUUCUGGUGAUUGCUGACAUUUAGGAUAUAUGAUUUGCCUAUAUAUUAUAGAUAAUUACAAUUUCAGAAAAGCUCCAUACAGAUACAUGUAUCAGAUUUCAGAAUGCUAGUUCUUAUUAUUGUUACACUUUAUAACCAGCUCUUAUUCACAUCAAUAAAACCAUCACUAUAAUUUCUGGAUUACAGUAGACAAAGGUUUUGGUUUAAUAAAGUUAAUCUUGAAGAUGUUGUCAAGAAGCUUGAUACAUUAGCUAAGUAAUGCGUAGUAGUCAACAAUGAGAACAUAUUAAAAUGUGUACAUGUGAAAAAAUAGCAUCUUGAUAAAGAUUAGGGAGUUACCGCCCCAGUGACUGAAAAUAGAAUAGUGUGAGCUAGUCAUCCUCAUGGUGUCCUAUGAUUAUAAACACAUAUGGAUUCAUUUAUUUUGUGGGUACAGUGUAACCUGUGUUAUCUGACUCACUGGGGGGUCAGAAAAAAAAUGUCUGUUUAAGCAGGCUGUUGCAAUUAAUACUUAGGUAUUUUCUGCAAAGAUAGGCAUAUUUUGGGACCAUGACAAAUGUGUGAUAAAAGCAGAUUGUUUGAAUACGCAGGUGUUGGAUUAGACAGGUUACACUGUACAUGUACUACUUUUUUUGUUGUUUGAGAAAAAAAAAUAUUUUUGUGGUUUUGUCAAAAUCUGCAUACAAGCAUAUAGAUUUAACUUUGUUGUUCACCUGUACCACGAAAUCCAUGAAAAUUGGAUUCCAAAAAAUAAUUAGGAAUCCACAGUAUACACACCAAUAUCUUACAAAACAUUUUAGAUAACUCAAAAUUUUCAGGGGGAAUGACAGAUUUUAUUUUGUUUUCUCUUUUCAGACACUUUUGGCCUUAAGAUUAUCAUCAAAAAUUCGUAAAAUAAGAUGGAAAGCUAAACAAGAAUUGAACAAAAGACAUUGGCCCACUUCAUAGGAUAUCGUACAGUUCAUUAUAUAAUAUCCAUCUUAGCUGAUUAUCAUUCUCCGCCAUCAUGACUAUUUAGGAUGACUAGUUGAAGAAAGAAAUGUUAACUAUUUUAUAACCAAGAAGCAUGCAAUAUAUAUCUAUUUAAAAUGUUUUUCACGAGUUGCAAUUUUUAACUGUGAAUUCAUUAUAUUUUGUUGGAUACCAAUUUUUGUGGGUUCAGACAAACCACUAAUUUAAAUUUUCUGUAAGCUUGUAUGCAACCAUUAUCAAAACCACAAAAUCCAAUAUCCACAUUUUUCCAUGAAAAUUGGUACCCAAGAAAAAAAAAGAAGUCACAGAAUUUUAUUAUAAAAGAGGAAAACUAACUGAAAAAAAGAUAAUUUUGAUGAGUUUUGAAUGCUUGUAUAGGAACUCUAAAAGAGUAAUCAGUGUUUAUAAAAUGGUUGGCAUCUAUAUCAACUAUGUUUAGUUUAUAUAAUACAGUGAAGAAGGGUAUACUGUUUGUUUCAGAGUGGACUUGCACAUUCAAUAUCUGCCAGUAUUCGUAAUUUAAGAUGGACUGCCAGGAAAAAAGCCAAGGCCCACCAAGCACAGAUAUUUAAAAUGUGAACUAUCAAAAAAAUUUGUACAUAAAUUUUGUUAGUAUUACAUUACUGUUAUUCAUUUUUAUGCAGAUCAUUUUCUGAACAUGUACUAAUAUUGUACUUUCAGACUGAAUAUUCUUACCAUGUGUCACAAAAAGUUCGUAAUUUACGGAAGAAAUUUCGUCGCAUAACAAAAGACGGAACAGAAUUUUAGUUUGUAUAAUUGUUACGAUUUUUAUUACGUUUUGUAUAUACUCCAAUUUAUGGAAGAGUAUGUGACAGGUGAAUGAAUAGAAGAAUGGUGCUGACAUUACAAGAAAUUAUCAUCUACUUUCAGACAAGUUUUUCAAAGGCGGUAUCCCACAGUGUGAGAAAUAUUCGUUGGAGGAUUAAAAAACAGCAACAACAAUUUGCAUACAAUUGAGAGAAGAAUUAAAUGUCAUAUGUCUCUAUUUUAAGUUUUAUCAAUUAUAUAUGAUUUCAUGUACUAGUUGUAUAUUUCAUUUAUAAAUAAUAUUGGUCAAAGACACAUUAUUUUCUAUCAAUCAAAGUACCUCUGAUUUUAUUUGUCAGACAUUGAUUCUUUAUCACAAGGUAUUCCUAUACACUGGGUCGUGCUAUAAUCAUGCAUUCAGUGGUUUAUUUACGAAUAGUAAAAUUAUGCGGCAGGUGAAAGGGAAAAAUUGACCUAACUAUGCAGCAAUGCUCAGCAAUAUACAGUACAGUAAAUUUGAUUGCUGUUCUAAUGUUUUUAUCUUAUUAUGAAAUAUCCAUUAAAUGUUUGUUAUCAUUAUUAAGUGCUAUAGUUUUAAGCAAGUUAAGAUCACUGGUUCAAAGGGAGACACAUAUUUUAUUCUAUUGAUAAGGUUAUACAAACAUCUUCAAUCAUGCUGUAUUUAUAAAUAUCUAUUUUAAUCUUCUUCAUACAUCAACACAUGCGCUAGUACUUGCUAGUACAUAAAGUAAGAAAGUAAAAAAACAGAAUAUAGAUAAGUGGUAUGAUUGUGAAUGAGACAACUAUCCAUAUAGACAAAAGGUCAAAAAUAGGAUCAACUACAGGUGACUGGACGAACCUCAGCAAGCAAAACCUAUACUGCAUAAAGUUAGCUGUUAAAUUUGGAUUUAAAAACAGGCACUUUGGCCCAUAUUAUAUCUUCUUGAUGAUACCUGUGAAAAAUCACAUACAUGUCUAGAUUCUUUUGUAUAAUAAAUGAAAUAUAUAUAUCAAAAAUAGCUUUAGUCUUUCUCAACAUAUAUCUAAUGAUUUAUUACACUUUAAAAUGAUAUAUGUACCUAAAAUCUGAAAGCAUUGGGCAUACACUGUAAAAAGAUCAAUAUGUAUAUUUUGUUUCUAGGUAUAGGCAGAAAUAAUGACAUAUUUCCAAUUGUGAGGUCUAUAUCCUUACUUUAAAAUACAUGUAGUGACAAAUUUAAAUCUUAAGAUUUUAUGCUUGUGAUAUCAAGAUUAUUAAUUUUCUGUUGUGUAGGAAACAAUAGAUAUAGGAAGAUGUGGUGUGAGUGCCAAUGAGACAACUCUCCAUCCAAAUAACAAUUUAUAAAAGUAAACCACUAUAGGUCAAUGUACAGCCUUCAACACAGAGCCUUGGCUUACACCGAACAAAAAACUAUAAAGGGUCCCAAAAUUACUAGUGUAAAACCAUUCAAACGGGAAAACCAAUGGUCUAAUGUAUGGCUUUUUAACAUGAGUUUCUUCAAAUCAAAAUGUUUCUGGUAUGUUUUUUUUUUUUAUCAAAUCAAAAACACACAUGUUGAAACUAUGAAAGGUAAAUUUUGCAGAC